This is a non-coding RNA of Caretta caretta (loggerhead turtle), 438 nucleotides long. The record is from the annotation of a RefSeq genome assembly. Lineage: Eukaryota; Metazoa; Chordata; Testudines; Cheloniidae.
AAGCCGAGCGCAUCUGGAUUCCCCACCAUGGCCUGGGCGCCUCUGCUCCUCUCACUGCUCACUUACUGCUCAGGUUCGCUCGCCCAGUACGUGCUGACCCAGCCGCCUUCAGUGUCUGUGUCUCCAGGGCAAAAUGCUCAACUCACCUGCACAGGGAACAACAUUGGGGGCAAGAGUGUGCAGUGGUUCCAACAGAAACCUGGCAGCGCCCCGCUACGUGUUAUAUAUGGUAGUAGCAGCAGACCCUCUGGAAUCCCCGAUCGAUUCUCUGGCUCCAACUCCGGUAACACGGCCACGUUAACCAUCACUGGAGUCCAGGCGCAGGACGAGGCUGAUUAUUAUUGUCAGGUGUGGGACAGUAGUGCUGGUCACAGUGACACAGCCAGAUGGAGAAGUGAGACACAAACCUCUUGUUAUCAAAGAAAACAUGUCCCGUAA